UCGCCUCGGCUGUUCCGGGCGGUCUGGAGCCUUGCGCUGUCUUUCGAAAUAUCCCCCGCCCCGCGGGUCGCCUUACCAGCCUCCCCAGGGUGUGCAUGAACGCUGGUGCUUUCCUUUCAGUACUUAGGGGAACUCCAGCGGUAAUAACCACACAUACUUCCUCUUAAUCAGUGGCCUGGCAAACCCGCUUGGGGAUUUCCAUGACCCUAAAAGAGUGACUAUUUCUUAACUGUGCCAUAACCGCGUGGCAUUUACUGAAAGACCUUUGCUUCAGUGUUCACGUGUCAGAGGAAAUCCUGAUAACAGGUGUUAGGGAAGAUGAUCAUUGGUCAACCUGACUGGAAAAGAGAAAAUGAUAAGACAUGACCCUCAUUAUAAGCAACGUGGAAAUAACAGAAACCUUGAGAGAAAAGAGCAACAUUGUCUUCAACUUUUUUUCAAUGAAACUUUUUUUUUCUCUGAGAAACAGAACCUGAGAUGGAGAUCACGUGCAGCUAAUUCCUUUGUAUAUAGCCUCCAGCUCAACAUUACUCCAACAACAUUUGGACAGAAAUGCUGAUGGGAGACUCCUGUGCUAAAUCAUAUCUGUCUGACAAGAAGAAUAGAAGAUGUGACAUUGUACAAUUGGUAACAAAAAAAAGAAAACAUGGUCCUAGUUAAGACUGGGAAAUACUGAGAAGAAUUCUGUUUCUUCCAAUAGAAUUUCCUGUAUUCUGUUUUUCCUCAGGUCUCUGUCCUUGUGUUAUGGUGAGAAAGUUUAGAACACCGUUAUGAAGAUUUUCUGUUUAAAUGGUUCCGAAUUGUGGGCAUAUUUAAUUUGGUGUUUCCCUUGUCCUAAGGAGUAAUGAAAAUGUUCUUAAAUUGAUUAUGGGGAUGUAUGCACAACUAUGUGAUGAUACUGUGAGGCAGUGAUUGUAUACUUUGGAUGGUUUGUGAGGUGUGUGAAUAUAUCUCAAUAAAAUUGAUUUUUAAAAAGCCCUCAGAAUUUUUUAUUGUGCUGAGAACUGGCUCCCAGACUAUGGUAGUGCCAUGAGCAUGAGUGGAUUUGAGUAUGAGAUCAAUUUUGACUGCCUCUAGCU
Molecule: long non-coding RNA, 1079 nt
Organism: Choloepus didactylus (southern two-toed sloth)
Lineage: Eukaryota; Metazoa; Chordata; Mammalia; Pilosa; Megalonychidae
Exons: 3
Source: RefSeq, a predicted model, not a curated record